GGCCCUAUAGUGUAGUUGGAUAACAUGUAAGCUUGCGGAGCUUAAGAUCGUGGGUUCAAGUCCCACUAGGGUCA
RNAcentral lists this transfer RNA (74 nucleotides) under Candidatus Diapherotrites archaeon CG08_land_8_20_14_0_20_30_16. Its description in RNAcentral is "tRNA-Arg". It matches the Rfam family "tRNA". Rfam says of the family: Transfer RNA (tRNA) molecules are approximately 80 nucleotides in length. Their secondary structure includes four short double-helical elements and three loops (D, anti-codon, and T loops). Further hydrogen bonds mediate the characteristic L-shaped molecular structure. tRNAs have two regions of fundamental functional importance: the anti-codon, which is responsible for specific mRNA codon recognition, and the 3' end, to which the tRNAs corresponding amino acid is attached (by aminoacyl-tRNA synthetases). tRNAs cope with the degeneracy of the genetic code in two manners: having more than one tRNA (with a specific anti-codon) for a particular amino acid; and 'wobble' base-pairing, i.e. permitting non-standard base-pairing at the 3rd anti-codon position. The record is from RNAcentral. Lineage: Archaea; Nanobdellati; Candidatus Iainarchaeota.